UACAGAGGUCCCAAGCGUUGUUCGGAUUCACUGGGCGUAAAGGGUGCGCAGGUGGUUUGGCAAGUUUGAUGUGAAAGCCCCGGGCUUAACCCGGGAAUGGCAUUGAAUACUGCUUGAACUGGAGGGUCGGAGGGGGGACUGGAAUUCUUGGUGUAGCAGUGAAAUGCGUAGAUAUCAAAGAGGAACACCAGUGGCGAAGGCGAGUCCCUGGACGAUACCUGACACUGAGGCACGAAAGCCAAGGGAGCAAACAGG
Molecule: ribosomal RNA, 255 nt
Filed under: uncultured bacterium
Lineage: Bacteria
Description: partial 16S ribosomal RNA
Rfam family: Bacterial small subunit ribosomal RNA
Source: RNAcentral